GCAAGGAAUUUUGCGCAAUGGGCGAAAGCCUGACGCAGCAACGCCGCGUGGGUGAAGAAGGCCUUCGGGUCGUAAAACCCUUUUGUCGGGGAAGAAGCUCUGACGGUACCCGGCGAAUAAGCCUCGGCUAACUACGUGCCAGCAGCCGCGGUAAUACGUAGGAGGCGAGCGUUAUCCGGAUUUAUUGGGCGUAAAGAGCGCGUAGGCGGUCUAUUAAGUCAGUUGUGAAAUCUCCCGGCUUAACUGGGAGCGGUCAGUUGAUACUGGUAGACUUGAGGGCAGCAGAGGGAGGUGGAAUUCCCGGUGUAGCGGUGAUAUGCGUAGAGAUCGGGAGGAACACCAGUGGCGAAGGCGACCUCCUGGGCUGUUCCUGACGCUGAGGCGCGAAAGCGUGGGUAGCAAACAGGAUUAGAUACCCCGGUAGUCC
RNAcentral lists this ribosomal RNA (427 nucleotides) under uncultured bacterium. Its description in RNAcentral is "bacterial SSU rRNA". It matches the Rfam family "Bacterial small subunit ribosomal RNA", at positions 354 to 796 of the family's 1533-position model. The record is from RNAcentral.